Molecule: long non-coding RNA, 477 nt
Organism: Boleophthalmus pectinirostris (great blue-spotted mudskipper)
Lineage: Eukaryota; Metazoa; Chordata; Actinopteri; Gobiiformes; Gobiidae
Exons: 3
Source: RefSeq, a predicted model, not a curated record
GACAAAUGUAUGCUUAUUUCUGACGGUAUUCACUCACUAACCCAAAGCAUUUUUAUGCGCACAGCCUUACAGAUACAGAAGAUGGUCUAUCCUUGCGAUGCACGUGCUACUCUCUGCAGUGUGAGGAGACCACUCUGCUGCCAGCCCCGUGGACGGAAACUGAAGAACUGCUCGGAGUUGAAGCUCCUUUCUGGAAAGUUGACCCAUCGGAGUUCUCCUUCUCUUAGAGUGAUAAUAUCUGGACGUGCCUCUUCAUGGGUUCGCGCAUAUGUCCCUGUGUAUGCCACACUGGUUUCAUUCAACUUGUCCAUCACAAAAACAUCAAAGUAAUAUUGAGUGUCAGUCCUCCCUUUGGGCAGCUUUACAUGGGUGAUCUUCCCCUCUGGCAGCCAUGUUGUGGGUCGAAGGGGCACCUCAUUCUCGGGUGAAAGCGCUGAUCGGACUUGAGGCCACACAGAACUCCAGCACAACACCACG